RNAcentral lists this small nucleolar RNA (53 nucleotides) under Pteropus vampyrus (large flying fox). Its description in RNAcentral is "Small nucleolar RNA snoR4a (ENSPVAG00000027918.1)". Lineage: Eukaryota; Metazoa; Chordata; Mammalia; Chiroptera; Pteropodidae. The record is from RNAcentral.
GCAUAUGAUGAAAUGGAAAUAAUGUUUAUCAAACCAUUUCAUUUUCCUCCUGC